UCGAGGGGUAUAGUCUUUCGGGAUUAGAGACCGGCGCACGGGUGCGUAACGCGUAUGCAAUCUGCCUUACACUAAGGGAUAGCCCAGAGAAAUUUGGAUUAAUACCUUAUAGUAUAUGAUGGGGACAUCCCUGACAUAUUAAAGUUCCAACGGUGUAAGAUGAGCAUGCGUCCCAUUAGCUAGUUGGUGUGGUAACGGCACACCAAGGCAAUGAUGGGUAGGGGUCCUGAGAGGGAGAUCCCCCACACUGGUACUGAGACACGGACCAGACUCCUACGGGAGGCAGCAGUGAGGAAUAUUGGUCAAUGGGCGCAAGCCUGAACCAGCCAUGCCGCGUGCAGGAUGACGCAUCUAUGGUGUGUAAACUGCUUUUGUACGGGAAGAAACCCUGGCUCGUGAGCCAGAUUGACGGUACCGUAAGAAUAAGGAUCGGCUAACUCCGUGCCAGCAGCCGCGGUAAUACGGAGGAUCCAAGCGUUAUCCGGAAUCAUUGGGUUUAAAGGGUCCGUAGGCGGUUUUAUAAGUCAGUGGUGAAAUCCGGCAGCUCAACUGUCGAACUGCCAUUGAUACUGUAGGACUUGAAUUAUUGUGAAGUAACUAGAAUAUGUAGUGUAGCGGUGAAAUGCUUAGAUAUUACAUGGAAUACCCAUUGCGAAGGCAGGUUACUAACAAUAUAUUGACGCUGAUGGA
Molecule: ribosomal RNA, 690 nt
Filed under: uncultured Bacteroidota bacterium
Lineage: Bacteria; Pseudomonadati; Bacteroidota
Description: bacterial SSU rRNA
Rfam family: Bacterial small subunit ribosomal RNA
Source: RNAcentral